Phycodurus eques (leafy seadragon) is the source of this 1298-nucleotide long non-coding RNA. RefSeq lists it as uncharacterized. The transcript has 3 exons. Lineage: Eukaryota; Metazoa; Chordata; Actinopteri; Syngnathiformes; Syngnathidae. The record is from RefSeq and is a predicted model, not a curated record.
CCCACAAAAUCCAACUGAGUGAAAGGAGUCGUGUAUGAUUUAAAAAUGCCAGUGGGAUUUGUUUGUUAUUUUGUUAUAUUCAUUGGUGAACCCUGGUGGGUAGAACCUCCUGCGUCACACCCGUGUCUGUCAAUCAGCGUGCAACAGUGGAAGAAGGGAGAGGUCGGAUUAUUAUUUUGUUUACCUCCAUCGUCACGUAGGUCGCAGGGGCGUGCUGGAGCCUAUCCCAGCUAUCUUCGGGCGAGACCCUGAACUGGCCAAUCGCAGGGCACGUAGAAACAAACAACCAUUCGCCCUAUACAUGCAAACGACACACAGGCGAAGUUGGAUUUGAACCUGGGUCCUCAGAACUGUGAGGCAGAUGUUCCAACCAGUCGUCCACAUUUCCACCAUGUUUUCUUUCUGUUGUUUUUUUUGUUAAAUAUGUUUGAAGAUAAGUGCUGAAAACAAAGACAACAACUGAAUUGUUGAGAUAUAGCUUAAGCAUCUUUUUCACCGUUUGAAUUUUCCUGAUUUUAUGGUUGGAACUAAAACAUAGCCCCGUGCGUAUACUUUCUAGCGCGAGUUCCCUCCCCCACUAUAUAAAGACAAAGUGACGUCAUUUCGUUUGGCUGCUCAGUUGAGUGUUAGCUGUGCUUAGCUUUCAUAACAAGCCCCAUUUACCACUCCAGCGUACAGUUACCAAGCUAACCAUGGCUACACCAAGAAAACGCAUCUUCGCUGGAUGCCUCAAUUUACAGAAAAGCUUGGUGCUGUUUUUUAAGCUCCCAAAAAAUGACGAAAUAAAAAAGCGCUGGAUUGACUUUUUAAAGAGACACGCGAAUGGCAACCUUAACAUCAACACCACCAGUCAACACUGCAGUGCGCAUUUUACAAUGGAUAAUUUUGAAACUUUCACCAGAGACAGCAUGGCUUAGUGGGUAACUUGAUACUAGUGAAUGGGGCAGUGCAGACUGUCUAACUUCCUGGGCUUCCUCCUACCGUCCCCGCUGUCGUCAGGUGCUGUGUUCGGCUGUGACAUUAUGCCACCAACAACGAGGUGUCUAGUGUGUCAGCUCUUGUUGAUUUCCGCAGGGGAAGUUGCCUCAGUGCUAUCCUCAGACAAAGCCCUGACCCAGGGGUUAAGGAAUGUGAACCCAGUGCUGUGACGAGAUCAAGACUUUCCCUCAGGGUGGACAAUGCUGAACACCUCAACAAACGCCCUAAUGAGCUCACAUGCUCGUGUGUUCCUCAUUUCACACCUUUUAAUUUACGUAUCUUACAAUCCUGUCCACGUUUAUGAAAAAUCUUGAAUAAAA